RNAcentral lists this ribosomal RNA (253 nucleotides) under uncultured bacterium. Its description in RNAcentral is "partial 16S ribosomal RNA". It matches the Rfam family "Bacterial small subunit ribosomal RNA", at positions 524 to 776 of the family's 1533-position model. The record is from RNAcentral.
UACGUAGGGGGCAAGCGUUGUCCGGAAUCAUUGGGCGUAAAGAGCGUGUAGGCGGCCCGAUAAGUCCGCCGUGAAAGUCCAGGGCUCAACCCUGGGAUGCCGGUGGAAACUGUCGGGCUAGAGUCCGGAAGAGGCGAGUGGAAUUCCUGGUGUAGCGGUGAAAUGCGCAGAUAUCAGGAGGAACACCAAUGGCGAAGGCAGCUCGCUGGGAUGGUACUGACGCUGAGACGCGAAAGCGUGGGGAGCAAACAGG